UAUGGCUAUAUCACGUUGAAGGACCGGUUCCCGUACGAUCACCGUAGUUAAGCAGCGUCGAGUCUGGACAAUACCUAGAUGGGGGACCGCUUGGGAAUACCAGGCGCU
This is a non-coding RNA of Acanthosepion pharaonis, 108 nucleotides long. The record is from the annotation of a GenBank genome assembly. Lineage: Eukaryota; Metazoa; Mollusca; Cephalopoda; Sepiida; Sepiidae.